This 69-nucleotide transfer RNA is filed under the name Cnemaspis peninsularis. Its description in RNAcentral is "tRNA-Ala". It matches the Rfam family "tRNA". Rfam says of the family: Transfer RNA (tRNA) molecules are approximately 80 nucleotides in length. Lineage: Eukaryota; Metazoa; Chordata; Lepidosauria; Squamata; Gekkonidae. The record is from RNAcentral.
UGGGUUUUAGCUUAAUUAAAGUGUCUGAGUUGCAGUCAGGUGAUGCAAGUUAGAGUUUUGCAGGCCUUC